CACGUAGGGCGCAAGCGUUGUCCGGAAUUAUUGGGCGUAAAGAGCUCGUAGGCGGUCUGUUACGUCUGCUGUGAAAACCCGGGGCUUAACCCUGGGCUUGCAGUGGAUACGGGCAGACUAGAGGCAGGUAGGGGAGAAUGGAAUUCCCGGUGUAGCGGUGAAAUGCGCAGAUAUCAGGAGGAACACCGGUGGCGAAGGCGGGAUCCUGGGCCAGUACUGACGCUGAGGAGCGAAAGCGUGGGGAGCAAACAGG
This 253-nucleotide ribosomal RNA is filed under the name uncultured bacterium. Its description in RNAcentral is "partial 16S ribosomal RNA". It matches the Rfam family "Bacterial small subunit ribosomal RNA", at positions 524 to 776 of the family's 1533-position model. The record is from RNAcentral.